UACAGAGGUCCCAAGCGUUGUUCGGAUUCACUGGGCGUAAAGGGUGCGUAGGUGGUGAGGUAAGUCGGAUGUGAAAUCUCCGGGCUCAACCCGGAAAUGGCAUUGGAAACUACCUUGCUUGAGGGUUUGAGGGGGGAUUGGAAUACUUGGUGUAGCAGUGAAAUGCGUAGAUAUCAAGUGGAACACCAGUGGCGAAGGCGAAUCCCUGGAAAAUACCUGACACUGAGGCACGAAAGCUAGGGGAGCAAACAGG
Molecule: ribosomal RNA, 253 nt
Filed under: uncultured bacterium
Lineage: Bacteria
Description: partial 16S ribosomal RNA
Rfam family: Bacterial small subunit ribosomal RNA
Source: RNAcentral